This 482-nucleotide ribosomal RNA is filed under the name uncultured bacterium. Its description in RNAcentral is "partial 16S ribosomal RNA". It matches the Rfam family "Bacterial small subunit ribosomal RNA", at positions 28 to 523 of the family's 1533-position model. The record is from RNAcentral.
GACGAACGCUGGCGGCGUGCUUAACACAUGCAAGUCGAACGGAAAGGCCCAGCUUGCUGGGUACUCGAGUGGCGAACGGGUGAGUAACACGUGGGUGAUCUGCCCUGCACUCUGGGAUAAGCCUGGGAAACUGGGUCUAAUACCGGAUAUGAUCAACUGGCGCAUGGUGGUUGGUGGAAAGCUUUUGCGGUGUGGGAUGGGCCCGCGGCCUAUCAGCUUGUUGGUGGGGUAAUGGCCUACCAAGGCGACGACGGGUAGCCGACCUGAGAGGGUGAUCGGCCACACUGGGACUGAGACACGGCCCAGACUCCUACGGGAGGCAGCAGUGGGGAAUAUUGCACAAUGGGCGCAAGCCUGAUGCAGCGACGCCGCGUGAGGGAUGACGGCCUUCGGGUUGUAAACCUCUUUCACCAGGGACGAAGCGUGAGUGACGGUACUUGGAGAAGAAGCACCGGCCAACUACGUGCCAGCAGCCGCCGUAA